Molecule: long non-coding RNA, 471 nt
Organism: Siniperca chuatsi (mandarin fish)
Lineage: Eukaryota; Metazoa; Chordata; Actinopteri; Centrarchiformes; Sinipercidae
Exons: 3
Source: RefSeq, a predicted model, not a curated record
GACAUAACCAGUUUGAACUGCUUUUGCUAGCAGCGCACAGUUUCUUUGUCGGGGUCAUGGACAUAUGAUACAUCAGUGGUUGGGGUCAGUUGUGGAAUCCACCAAGGAUUGUAAUCUAUUUAAGACACCCACAGCAAUGUGUUGGACUGUUGCAGCGUCCAGCCUGACAUCCACCCACAGCCUUUCCCCACCAUCCCUCGUCUGUCCUCCAUCUUUCAGGUCUAAGGCAGGCCAAGCAAGACAACCCAGAUUUGCUACCCUCUAGCCUCAUCCUCCAACUCCUCCUGGAGAAUCCCAAGGCAUUGCCAGGCCAGAUAGGAGAUCCCUUCAGUGUGGCCAAGAAAGCUUCCAGAUGGAGGCAUCCUUACCUGAACCACCCCAAAUCAGUUUUCCUCUGAGCUUCUUGCCCCUCACUCUGUUCCUAAGGUCGCUUUUAAACCUGUAGAUUAAUUCAGUUGGUUGUUUCCUUGA